AUGCGAUUCCCUAAUGCUAGUGAAGUAGAAAGGGCAUGUUGUUAUGGAAAACGCUUGCCUCUGAAGGAAGGGAACAUUGUUGUAUGUAUUACUCCUUGGACUGCUUCUAUUGGAGCCAAAGGCAUUAUGGAGAAAGCAUGGGUUAGGGUUCGCAACAUUCCCAUAGAGAAAAGAUGCACUGAACAUAUAGCUUAUGUUGGAGCUCUAGUUGGGAUUACUUUAGAAGUUGAUGAAUCG
RNAcentral lists this ribosomal RNA (237 nucleotides) under Triticum aestivum (bread wheat). RNAcentral's name for it is "partial small subunit ribosomal RNA". The record is from RNAcentral. Lineage: Eukaryota; Viridiplantae; Streptophyta; Magnoliopsida; Poales; Poaceae.